Molecule: ribosomal RNA, 486 nt
Filed under: uncultured bacterium
Lineage: Bacteria
Description: bacterial SSU rRNA
Rfam family: Bacterial small subunit ribosomal RNA
Source: RNAcentral
GACGAACGCUGGCGGCGUGCUUAACACAUGCAAGUCGAGCGGUAAGGCCCUUUCGGGGGUACACGAGCGGCGAACGGGUGAGUAACACGUGGGUGACCUGCCCUCAGCUCUGGGAUAAGCCUGGGAAACCGGGUCUAAUACCGGAUAUGACUCCAUGACGCAUGUUGUGGGGUGGAAAGCCUUGUGCGGCUGAGGAUGGGCCCGCGGCCUAUCAGCUUGUUGGUGGGGUGAUGGCCUACCAAGGCGACGACGGGUAGCCGGCCUGAGAGGGCGACCGGCCACACUGGGACUGAGACACGGCCCAGACUCCUACGGGAGGCAGCAGUGGGGAAUAUUAGCAAUGGACGAAAGUCUGACUAUGCGACGCCGCGUGCAGGAUGAAGGUUUUCGGAUCGUAAACUGCUUUGUCUGGAAAGAAGCCUAUUUUGUUAAUAACAAAAUANCUGACGGUACCAGACGAAUAAGCCACGGCUAACUCCGUAGCCA